Carassius carassius (crucian carp) is the source of this 267-nucleotide long non-coding RNA. RefSeq lists it as uncharacterized. The transcript has 2 exons. Lineage: Eukaryota; Metazoa; Chordata; Actinopteri; Cypriniformes; Cyprinidae. The record is from RefSeq and is a predicted model, not a curated record.
UGAUGUAAAUAAUAUAAAUGUAACAACUAAAUGUAACUGUAACAAAGGUAACAAACAAUGGUGUUCUUUCAAUUUAUCCCCCCUAAAAAACCUGAAAAAAAUAUUCUCAGCUCUUUUCAACAUUAAUAAUAAUAAUGAUAAUAAUAACAAUAAAUGUUUUUUUGUAGAAAAUAAGAUUGUUAAAAGGAUUUCUGAAGGAUUGUUGGAUAUUAAAUUAUGUUGUGGGAUAAUUAAAUAUAUUCUUAAUAAACUACAAACAUAAAAUUA